Molecule: ribosomal RNA, 497 nt
Filed under: uncultured bacterium
Lineage: Bacteria
Description: partial 16S ribosomal RNA
Rfam family: Bacterial small subunit ribosomal RNA
Source: RNAcentral
GAUGAACGCUGGCGGCGUGCCUAAUACAUGCAAGUCGAGCGAACAGACGAGGAGCUUGCUCCUCUGACGUUAGCGGCGGACGGGUGAGUAACACGUGGAUAACCUACCUAUAAGACUGGGAUAACUUCGGGAAACCGGCGCUAAUACCGGAUAAUAUAUUGAACCGCAUGGUUCAAUAGUGAAAGACGGCUUUGCUGUCACUUAUAGAUGGAUCUGCGCCGCAUUAGCUAGUUGGUAAGGUAACGGCUUACCAAGGCAACGAUGCGUAGCCGACCUGAGAGGGUGAUCGGCCACACUGGAACUGAGACACGGUCCAGACUCCUACGGGAGGCAGCAGUAGGGAAUCUUCCGCAAUGGGCGAAAGCCUGACGGAGCAACGCCGCGUGAGUGAUGAAGGUCUUCGGAUCGUAAAACUCUGUUAUUAGGGAAGAACAAAUGUGUAAGUAACUAUGCACGUCUUGACGGUACCUAAUCAGAAAGCCACGGCUAACUACGUG